This 305-nucleotide ribosomal RNA is filed under the name uncultured bacterium. Its description in RNAcentral is "bacterial SSU rRNA". It matches the Rfam family "Bacterial small subunit ribosomal RNA", at positions 333 to 654 of the family's 1533-position model. The record is from RNAcentral.
UUUUUCCUACGGGGGGCAGCAGUGGGGAAUUUUGCGCAAUGGGGGAAACCCUGACGCAGCAACGCCGCGUGCGGGACGAAGGCCCUCGGGUUGUAAACCGCUUUCAGCAGGGAAGACUUUACGACGGUACCUGCAGAAGAAGCUCCGGCUAACUACGUGCCAGCAGCCGCGGUAAUACGUAGGGGGCGAGCGUUAUCCGGAUUCAUUGGGCGUAAAGCGCGCGUAGGCGGCCGCCUAAGCGGGACCUCUAACCCCGGGGCUCAACCCCGGGCCGGAUCCCGGACUGGGCGGCUCGAGCGCGGUAG